RNAcentral lists this ribosomal RNA (440 nucleotides) under uncultured bacterium. RNAcentral's name for it is "partial 16S ribosomal RNA". It matches the Rfam family "Bacterial small subunit ribosomal RNA", at positions 338 to 795 of the family's 1533-position model. The record is from RNAcentral.
CCUACGGGUGGCAGCAGUGGGGGAUAUUGCACAAUGGGGGGAACCCUGAUGCAGCGACGCCGCGUGGGUGAAGAUGCGCCUCGGCGCGUAAAGCCCUGUCAUCAGGGAGGAAAAUGACGGUACCUGAAGAAGAAGCCCCUGCUAACUACGUGCCAGCAGCCGCGGUAAUACGGAGGGGGCACGCGUUAUCCGACUUUACUGGGUGUAUAGGGGGCUCAGCCGGCGAUGCAAGCCAGGAGUGAAGGCCCGGGGCCCAACCCCGGGACUGCCCUUGGAACUGCGUGGCUGGAGUGCAGGUGGGGCAGGAGGAAUGCGUGGUGUAGCGGUGAAAUGCGUAGAUAUCAGGAGGAACACCGGUGGCGAAGGCGGCCUGCGGGACUGCAACUGACGUUGAGGCACGAAAGCGUGGGGAGCAAACAGGAUUAGAUACCCGGGUAGUC